RNAcentral lists this long non-coding RNA (2074 nucleotides) under Fragaria vesca (wild strawberry). RNAcentral's name for it is "long non-coding RNA (FVES_LNC003472)". The record is from RNAcentral. Lineage: Eukaryota; Viridiplantae; Streptophyta; Magnoliopsida; Rosales; Rosaceae.
AAAUGAUCUUAAUGAACUUGUACUUAAUUAGCUCAUUAUUAAUUACUUAAUAUAUUUAAUUUUUAAACCCUAAACUCUAAACUCUUAUCCCUAAACCCUAAACCCUAAACUCUUAGCCCUAAACCUCAAACUUAUUUAUUCCAUUUUAGUGUGAAUACGAUAUUAAGCUAGAAAACAUCCUCAGUGAACUUGUAGGUAGCAUAUUUAUUUAGUGUGAAUAUUCCAGUAAAGAAAGGUUUAUAGUGAACUUUACUAGCUCAUUGUCAGCUACUUAGUACUUAUUUGUUUAGUGAUCAUUACGUACUAGCUCAUCACUAACUGCUUAUAACUUAUGUUUAUCACUUUAAAUCUCAAUAUGAGUAAUGACUUCUAUUUGAAUGUGAACUUCAAUGUGUAUAAUGACUUAUAUUUCAAUAUGAAUAUGCCAUUAGGGAAAGGUUUCAAGUGAAAAUUACUACCUUAUUAUCCGCUACUUAUAACUUAAUUGUUACUAUAAGACAUGUUUAGGACUUUAAAUUUCAAUGUGAACGGCGACUUCAAAUUUUAAUGUAAAUAAUGUCUUCUAUUUCAAUGUGAAGUUCAAUGUGAACAUGCUAUUUGGGAAGGGUUCCAAGUGAACAUUAUUACACUACCAGGACAAGCACUUUAGCCGACGAAAAUUUUUCGUCGGCCUGUCAGCUUAAUUCGUCGGCUAAGAUCGUCGGCUAAGAUUUCGUCGGGAAAAGCUCGUCUGUGGUGACUUUAGCCGACGACACACGUAUAAAUCGUCGGCUAUAGUCCAGACUUUAGCCGACGAAAUAAUGUGUCGUCGGCUAAAGUCUGGAUUAUAGCCGACGACAUUUUUGUCGUCGGUUAUCUGCCAAACUUUAGCCGACGAAUAUUUUAAAAUAUUCAUCGGUUAAAGUUUGUAAUAAGAAAAUAAAAAAGAUCUAUGGCCGACGAAAUAUAGUAUAUUUCGUCGGCUUUAUAGGUAUUUAGCCGACGAAUUAGAGCAUAUUUCGUCGGCUAAAANNNNNNNNNNNNNNNNNNNNCUUAAAUUCGUCGGCUAUACACCAAUUCGUCGGACUAAAGUCUUAUAAAUUCGUCGGCUAAAACUUUGAAAUUCGUCGGCUAAAGUCUUAAAUUUCGUCGGCUAAAACUUUGAAAUUCGUCGGCUAAACCUUUGAAAUUCGUCGGCUAAAAGUAUUUGUAUACAUUUGGCAUGUUGUGAUUGUGAUGAUCAAACUUGAGAAACAGAAAUCCGACCGUCAGAUCUGACCAUCAUGAUAAAAUACAUGUGUGGGAAAAAAUUCAACUUGAUCCGAAAAGAAUAAGGGCUCGAUCCGGACGGUCAAUCUCGUAAGUCAAACCCCUAAACGCACGGAAAAGGUCGUUCGACCGUCUAAAUUACGUAUUUUGGCCGGACCUCCAACUGAAAAUAGUUUUAAACCGAUGACACGCAACAAGUCGUAUAAAAAUUUUACGCAAAAUAACCACCGAAUAUAGGGCUACUCAUAGGGGGAAAAAAUGAAAAAUUGCAUUGACCGCAACUAUCGACACCGAAUAUUUACCGGAAUAGUGUGAUUUUUCAACCGUGGAUGUAUUUCAACAUUCUCGUCAUAUCUUAUUUCAUGACUUUUUGCCGUUUGAAGGUUUUACGUAUAGUUUGUUUUUGAAACGGAACAUUUACAUAACACUAGGUAAACAAGUUAUACAACAUUAGUAUGCCUGUUGUGAUUGUGAUGAUCAAACUUGAGAAACAGUCAUCCGACCGUCAGAUCUGACCAUCAUGAUAAAAUACAUCUAUGGGAAAAAAUUCAACUUGAUCCGAAAAGAAUAAGGGCUCGAUCCGGACGGUCAAUCUCGUAAGUCAAACCCCUAAACGCACGGAAAAGGUCGUUCGACCGUCUAAAUUACGUAUUUUGGCCGGACCUCCAACUGAAAAUAGUUUUAAACCGAUGACACGCAACAAGUCGUAUAAAAAUUUUACGCAAAAUAACCACCGAAUAUAGGGCUACUCAUAGAUGGAAAAAAUGAAAAAUUGCAUUGACCGCAACUAUCGGCACCGAAUAUUUACCGGAAUAGUGUGANNNNN